RNAcentral lists this transfer RNA (72 nucleotides) under Ictidomys tridecemlineatus (thirteen-lined ground squirrel). RNAcentral describes it as "Spermophilus tridecemlineatus (thirteen-lined ground squirrel) tRNA". It matches the Rfam family "tRNA". Rfam says of the family: Transfer RNA (tRNA) molecules are approximately 80 nucleotides in length. Their secondary structure includes four short double-helical elements and three loops (D, anti-codon, and T loops). The record is from Rfam by way of RNAcentral. Lineage: Eukaryota; Metazoa; Chordata; Mammalia; Rodentia; Sciuridae.
UGGAGUGUGGCUCAGCAGCAGAGUGCUCGCCUGGCACGUGUGAGGCGCUGGGUUCGAUCCUCAGCACCACAU